This 515-nucleotide ribosomal RNA is filed under the name Aspergillus flavus. Its description in RNAcentral is "eukaryotic LSU rRNA". The stretch from base 163 to 316 matches the Rfam family "5.8S ribosomal RNA". Lineage: Eukaryota; Fungi; Ascomycota; Eurotiomycetes; Eurotiales; Aspergillaceae. The record is from RNAcentral.
UGGAUGGAAAGUAAAAAUCGUAACAAGGUUUCCGUAGGUGAACCUGCGGAAGGUUCAUUAACGAGUGUAGGGUUCCUAGCCCCCGGGCCCGCGCCCGCCGGAGACACCACGAACUCUGUCUGAUCUAGUGAAGUCUGAGUUGAUUGUAUCGCAAUCAGUUAAAACUUUCAACAAUGGAUCUCUUGGUUCCGGCAUCGAUGAAGAACGCAGCGAAAUGCGAUAACUAGUGUGAAUUGCAGAAUUCCGUGAAUCAUCGAGUCUUUGAACGCACAUUGCGCCCCCUGGUAUUCCGGGGGGCAUGCCUGUCCGAGCGUCAUUGCUGCCCAUCAAGCACGGCUUGUGUGUUGGGUCGUCGUCCCCUCUCCGGGGGGGACGGGCCCCAAAGGCAGCGGCGGCACCGCGUCCGAUCCUCGAGCGUAUGGGGCUUUGUCACCCGCUCUGUAGGCCCGGCCGGCGCUUGCCGAACGCAAAUCAAUCUUUUUCCAGGUGACUCGAUCAAAACGCACUCCAUUACC